This 821-nucleotide ribosomal RNA is filed under the name uncultured bacterium. RNAcentral's name for it is "bacterial SSU rRNA". It matches the Rfam family "Bacterial small subunit ribosomal RNA", at positions 49 to 865 of the family's 1533-position model. The record is from RNAcentral.
UUACACAUGCAAGUCGAACGGCAGCACGGGAGCAAUCNGGUGGCGAGUGGCGAACGGGUGAGUAAUGUAUCGGAACGUACCUUUCAGUGGGGGAUAACGUAGCGAAAGUUACGCUAAUACCGCAUAUUCUGUGAGCAGGAAAGCAGGGGAUCGCAAGACCUUGCGCUGAUUGAGCGGCCGAUAUCAGAUUAGCUAGUUGGUGAGGUAAAGGCUCACCAAGGCGACGAUCUGUAGCGGGUCUGAGAGGAUGAUCCGCCACACUGGAACUGAGACACGGUCCAGACUCCUACGGGAGGCAGCAGUGGGGAAUUUUGGACAAUGGGGGCAACCCUGAUCCAGCCAUGCCGCGUGAGUGAAGAAGGCCUUCGGGUUGUAAAGCUCUUUCAGCCGGGAAGAAAUCACAUGGGUUAAUACCCUGUGUGGAUGACGGUACCGGAAUAAGAAGCACCGGCUAACUACGUGCCAGCAGCCGCGGUAAUACGUAGGGUGCGAGCGUUAAUCGGAAUUACUGGGCGUAAAGCGUGCGCAGGCGGUUUGUUAAGAUAGGCGUGAAAUCCCCGGGCUCAACCUGGGAACUGCGUUUAUGACUGGCAGGCUAGAGUAUGGCAGAGGGGGGUGGAAUUCCACGUGUAGCAGUGAAAUGCGUAGAGAUGUGGAGGAACACCGAUGGCGAAGGCAGCCCCCUGGGCCAAUACUGACGCUCAUGCACGAAAGCGUGGGUAGCAAACAGGAUUAGAUACCCUGGUAGUCCACGCCCUAAACGAUGUCAACUAGGUGUUGGGUGGGUAAAACCAUUUAGUACCGGAGCUAACGCGUGAAGU